GGAAUAUUUCACAAUGGGGGAAACCCUGAUGCAGCGACGCCGCGUGAGCGAUGAAGUAUUUCGGUAGGUAAAGUUCUAUCAGCAGGGAAGAAUAUGACUGUAGCUGACUAAGAAGCCCCGGCUAACUACGUGCCAGCAGCCGCGGUAAUACGUAGGGGGCAAGGGUUAUCCGGAUUUACUGGGUGUAAAGGGAGCGUAGACGGCAUGGCAAGCCAGAUGUGAAAGCCCGGGGCUCAACCCCGGGACUGCAUUUGGAACUGUCAGGCUAGAGUGUCGGAGAGGAAAGCGGAAUUCCUAGUGUAGCGGUGAAAUGCGUAGAUAUUAGGAGGAACACCAGUGGCGAAGGCGGCUUUCUGGACGAUGACUGACGUUGAGGCUCGAAAGCGUGGGGAGCAAACA
RNAcentral lists this ribosomal RNA (399 nucleotides) under uncultured bacterium. RNAcentral's name for it is "bacterial SSU rRNA". It matches the Rfam family "Bacterial small subunit ribosomal RNA", at positions 358 to 774 of the family's 1533-position model. The record is from RNAcentral.